RNAcentral lists this transfer RNA (85 nucleotides) under Cyanobacteria bacterium UBA11049. Its description in RNAcentral is "tRNA-Ser". It matches the Rfam family "tRNA". Rfam says of the family: Transfer RNA (tRNA) molecules are approximately 80 nucleotides in length. Lineage: Bacteria; Bacillati; Cyanobacteriota. RNAcentral also lists the same sequence under 2 other names. The record is from RNAcentral.
GGAGAGGUGGCAGAGUGGUCGAUUGCGUCCGACUUGAAAUCGGAUGUACCGAAAGGUACCGUGAGUUCGAAUCUCACCCUCUCCG